UUAAGCGACUAAGCGUACACGGUGGAUGCCCUGGCAGUCAGAGGCGAUGAAGGACGUGCUAAUCUGCGAUAAGCGUCGGUAAGGUGAUAUGAACCGUUAUAACCGGCGAUUUCCGAAUGGGGAAACCCAGUGUGUUUCGACACACUAUCAUUAACUGAAUCCAUAGGUUAAUGAGGCGAACCGGGGGAACUGAAACAUCUAAGUACCCCGAGGAAAAGAAAUCAACCGAGAUUCCCCCAGUAGCGGCGAGCGAACGGGGAGCAGCCCAGAGCCUGAAUCAGUGUGUGUGUUAGUGGAAGCGUCUGGAAAGGCGCGCGAUACAGGGUGACAGCCCCGUACACAAAAAUGCACAUGCUGUGAGCUCGAUGAGUAGGGCGGGACACGUGGUAUCCUGUCUGAAUAUGGGGGGACCAUCCUCCAAGGCUAAAUACUCCUGACUGACCGAUAGUGAACCAGUACCGUGAGGGAAAGGCGAAAAGAACCCCGGCGAGGGGAGUGAAAAAGAACCUGAAACCGUGUACGUACAAGCAGUGGGAGCACGCUUAGGCGUGUGACUGCGUACCUUUUGUAUAAUGGGUCAGCGACUUAUAUUCUGUAGCAAGGUUAACCGAAUAGGGGAGCCGAAGGGAAACCGAGUCUUAACUGGGCGUUAAGUUGCAGGGUAUAGACCCGAAACCCGGUGAUCUAGCCAUGGGCAGGUUGAAGGUUGGGUAACACUAACUGGAGGACCGAACCGACUAAUGUUGAAAAAUUAGCGGAUGACUUGUGGCUGGGGGUGAAAGGCCAAUCAAACCGGGAGAUAGCUGGUUCUCCCCGAAAGCUAUUUAGGUAGCGCCUCGUGAAUUCAUCUCCGGGGGUAGAGCACUGUUUCGGCAAGGGGGUCAUCCCGACUUACCAACCCGAUGCAAACUGCGAAUACCGGAGAAUGUUAUCACGGGAGACACACGGCGGGUGCUAACGUCCGUCGUGAAGAGGGAAACAACCCAGACCGCCAGCUAAGGUCCCAAAGUCAUGGUUAAGUGGGAAACGAUGUGGGAAGGCCCAGACAGCCAGGAUGUUGGCUUAGAAGCAGCCAUCAUUUAAAGAAAGCGUAAUAGCUCACUGGUCGAGUCGGCCUGCGCGGAAGAUGUAACGGGGCUAAACCAUGCACCGAAGCUGCGGCAGCGACGCUGAUGCGUUGUUGGGUAGGGGAGCGUUCUGUAAGCCUGCGAAGGUGUGCUGUGAGGCAUGCUGGAGGUAUCAGAAGUGCGAAUGCUGACAUAAGUAACGAUAAAGCGGGUGAAAAGCCCGCUCGCCGGAAGACCAAGGGUUCCUGUCCAACGUUAAUCGGGGCAGGGUGAGUCGACCCCUAAGGCGAGGCCGAAAGGCGUAGUCGAUGGGAAACAGGUUAAUAUUCCUGUACUUGGUGUUACUGCGAAGGGGGGACGGAGAAGGCUAUGUUGGCCGGGCGACGGUUGUCCCGGUUUAAGCGUGUAGGCUGGUUUUCCAGGCAAAUCCGGAAAAUCAAGGCUGAGGCGUGAUGACGAGGCACUACGGUGCUGAAGCAACAAAUGCCCUGCUUCCAGGAAAAGCCUCUAAGCAUCAGGUAACAUCAAAUCGUACCCCAAACCGACACAGGUGGUCAGGUAGAGAAUACCAAGGCGCUUGAGAGAACUCGGGUGAAGGAACUAGGCAAAAUGGUGCCGUAACUUCGGGAGAAGGCACGCUGAUAUGUAGGUGAAGUCCCUUGCGGAUGGAGCUGAAAUCAGUCGAAGAUACCAGCUGGCUGCAACUGUUUAUUAAAAACACAGCACUGUGCAAACACGAAAGUGGACGUAUACGGUGUGACGCCUGCCCGGUGCCGGAAGGUUAAUUGAUGGGGUCAGCGCAAGCGAAGCUCUUGAUCGAAGCCCCGGUAAACGGCGGCCGUAACUAUAACGGUCCUAAGGUAGCGAAAUUCCUUGUCGGGUAAGUUCCGACCUGCACGAAUGGCGUAAUGAUGGCCAGGCUGUCUCCACCCGAGACUCAGUGAAAUUGAACUCGCUGUGAAGAUGCAGUGUACCCGCGGCAAGACGGAAAGACCCCGUGAACCUUUACUAUAGCUUGACACUGAACAUUGAGCCUUGAUGUGUAGGAUAGGUGGGAGGCUUAGAAGUGUGGACGCCAGUCUGCAUGGAGCCGACCUUGAAAUACCACCCUUUAAUGUUUGAUGUUCUAACGUUGACCCGUAAUCCGGGUUGCGGACAGUGUCUGGUGGGUAGUUUGACUGGGGCGGUCUCCUCCUAAAGAGUAACGGAGGAGCACGAAGGUUGGCUAAUCCUGGUCGGACAUCAGGAGGUUAGUGCAAUGGCAUAAGCCAGCUUGACUGCGAGCGUGACGGCGCGAGCAGGUGCGAAAGCAGGUCAUAGUGAUCCGGUGGUUCUGAAUGGAAGGGCCAUCGCUCAACGGAUAAAAGGUACUCCGGGGAUAACAGGCUGAUACCGCCCAAGAGUUCAUAUCGACGGCGGUGUUUGGCACCUCGAUGUCGGCUCAUCACAUCCUGGGGCUGAAGUAGGUCCCAAGGGUAUGGCUGUUCGCCAUUUAAAGUGGUACGCGAGCUGGGUUUAGAACGUCGUGAGACAGUUCGGUCCCUAUCUGCCGUGGGCGCUGGAGAACUGAGGGGGGCUGCUCCUAGUACGAGAGGACCGGAGUGGACGCAUCACUGGUGUUCGGGUUGUCAUGCCAAUGGCACUGCCCGGUAGCUAAAUGCGGAAGAGAUAAGUGCUGAAAGCAUCUAAGCACGAAACUUGCCCCGAGAUGAGUUCUCCCUGACCCUUUAAGGGUCCUGAAGGAACGUUGAAGACGACGACGUUGAUAGGCCGGGUGUGUAAGCGCAGCGAUGCGUUGAGCUAACCGGUACUAAUGAACCGUGAGGCUUAACCUU
RNAcentral lists this ribosomal RNA (2902 nucleotides) under Escherichia coli 5-172-05_S3_C1. Its description in RNAcentral is "bacterial LSU rRNA". It matches the Rfam family "Bacterial large subunit ribosomal RNA". The record is from RNAcentral. Lineage: Bacteria; Pseudomonadati; Pseudomonadota; Gammaproteobacteria; Enterobacterales; Enterobacteriaceae.